GAGUCAUCACCACCGCCAAUUCCACAGCGAAAAUCGUCGGCUCCAGCUCCGACAGCAGCUGCUCCUCCAGCCACAAAAGAGCCCACGGACCCGAAAAAAGCUGCAAUCUACCGUAUCCUUCACCAUCGACGUGAUCUACACAAGCAGAAUGCGCGCGCGGCGAUUGCUGACAAGGAUAAAGAAUCUGCAAAGGAAUCUGUAGAAAUGGCGAAGGCUUUUGAUCAGGUAGCUGGCGAAAUUCAGAGAUUUUUAUGUAAAAAUUCGAAUCCUCCGUGAUUUUUUCACCCCCGGGAGCUUUUUUCUGGGCUUCUAGCGUUAAUUUUUGAAAUUUUGGGGUACUGUAGCCUCAGAAGUACGCAAUUUGCCGUCCAUACACCUGAUCUUACGACAAAAUGCACAGAAUCUCUAAAUCUUGCAAAAACCGCAUGGAUAAAGGUAAAAAGGAAUCUUAAAAUUAACGCUAGAAGCCCGAGAAAAACGCAUGAUGGGGUAAAAAAUGAUGAGGAAUUUGAAUUUGAUAAGGAUUUCGUUAAAUUUUGAAAAAUUUCCGGAGAAAAAUUAUUUUUUUCGGAAAAAAUUAAAAAUUUCCAAAAUUCCAGGCAAUCGCCGCACUCAAUGAAUGCUCAGCCGAUGAAAUGGAUAUGAAUGACGUACCACCGUCUCCGCCCCCAUAUCGAAAACCGGCUCCGCCCCAACCACAAGCUCCGCCUACUUCUGCUGGUCCAUUGGGAUUCAUUGAAGAACUGCAACAACGGCAACAAAGAUUCCAGAAAAUGGCGGAAAAGGCAAAAACUGAGGGAAAUGAACGGAAAAUGAAGAUGAAUAUGCGACUUGCCGGCCAAUUUGACGAGGCGAUUAAGGAGGCGAAACGGGGAAAACUGGUGAAUGUUGGAGAGUUGCCCAGUCUGCCUGAUAUGGGACCACUUCCACCGCAAACGGCUCCGGGGUACACUUUUCGAAAUUUUUAAUCGAAAAUUCGAAUUCCCUGCGAUUUUUCACCCCCGGGAGCUUUUUUCUGGGCUUGUAGCGUUAAUUUUGAAAAUUUUGGGUACUGUACCCCCAGAAGUACGCAAUUUUACGUCAGGGCAUCGGAUCCUACGAUAAAAUGCACAGAAACUUCAAAUCUUGCGAAAACCGUCUGAAUAGGGGUAAAAGCGUGUGCUGAAACGGAUUUUGAUAUUAAAAAUGAGAAAAAUUGAAUAGUUUUUGAUUUAACCCGUGUUUUUCUGCGAGAAACUUGGAAAUUCUCGGUUUUUAUCAAUUUUCAAUGCGAAAUUCGAACUCAGCAACGUUUUUUACCCCUAUCCAGGUGGUUCCCGCAAGAUUUUGAGAUUCUGUGCAUUUUGUCGUAAGAUCAGGUGUAUGGACGGCAAAUUGCGUACUUUUGGGGCUACAGUACCCCCGCGGAAUCUUAAAAUUAACGAUAGAAGCCCAGAAAAAAAGCUUUAGGGUCUGAAAAAUUACGAGGAUUUCGAAUUUAAUAGAGAAUUUUCACAGAAAUCAAAAUUUUUGCCUGAAUUUAAUCAAUUUUCAGCCAAGCCGCCCCCAAACUUCAUCAACGUCCGCCCCCGCAAGAAGUUGGCCCACUGGCACCCAGUGGUGUGGAGGGAAAGAGUAGAAAUCAGGGACAAUUGGAGUUUUUGUUGGAACGACAGGCCCAGUUCAAGCAAGCUGCUAUUCAU
This 1682-nucleotide small RNA is filed under the name Caenorhabditis elegans. RNAcentral's name for it is "Unclassified non-coding RNA Y37H9A.11". The record is from RNAcentral. Lineage: Eukaryota; Metazoa; Nematoda; Chromadorea; Rhabditida; Rhabditidae.